GCCCCCCCUCCGCUCAGGCUCCCGCAGCGCCCCCGCCCGGCACCGCCCCCGCCGGCGUCUGCUGGCCGCGCGCCUCCCGCUGAGUCAGCCGUGUCCACGGAAAGUUUUACUGGAACAGCAAGCUCCUUUGUUGCCUAGGUCCGCGGCUGCUUUGCACAACGACAGCAGAGUCGAGCCAUUGUGAGAGACGAUGAGGACACUGAGGUCAGAGAGGUUAAGUGACUCACCCAAAGCUACACAGCGGGCAGAACCAGGAGCCCAGUGGUGGUGUGACUCUCUGUGGCCCAUGUUCCUUCGGGAGGGUGGCGCUGCGGCAGGCAGCGAUCCCCCGGCAAGGCGAGCCACGGCCCACACCCAGCCUGAAGCUACAUGUGCCUGUGAACCUAGUCCCAGGGGCCAGAGUGCGCAGCGAUGAGUCACCCCAGCCCGCUCCCACAUGGAGACCCUCCUCCCCAGCCCGCACACAGGCUGAGACCCGGUUGCCAAGCAAUAAGACACAACAUGCAUAAAUACAAUGCCAUCCCUUGCUGGACCGCGGCGCAGGGCUCUUGUGCUGCGGUCUUUUCCUUGCUUCUCCCCUCCGCCCCUCAGCCUUCCCUCCAGCUUCCCCUGGGACAGUAGGUUUGAUCCUCAGGCGAAGCGCUUCCAGACCCGAGUGAAUGCGGACUGCAGUGUGGACUCGAGGGUGGCUGUGGAGUCUGCCUGGGCGAGGAAUGGGACAAGGCUGAGCCGAGCGGGCGGCAGGAGUGUGGGCUGCAGACAGGGUGGAAUGUCACCAUUCCGGGUGGGUGGGCGCGCCGAGUGGGGGCAUGACUUCAGAGCUGGCCUUGGAGGACGGAGGAAGGCUCCUGCGAUGGGAGCACGUGCCCACUGCCCAGGGACAGGAGGGGCUCCUGCUGCUCUGGAACCUCAGGAUGACGACAGGAUCCCGUGGCACCUCUCUUUGAGCCUGCACACCUCGCUUACCUGUGAGUUGGUUUAGCUGCACAACGCCCUGAGGGCGGCUGCCGGAGUGGGCAGCCGCUUG
Molecule: long non-coding RNA, 1027 nt
Filed under: Equus asinus (donkey)
Lineage: Eukaryota; Metazoa; Chordata; Mammalia; Perissodactyla; Equidae
Description: lncRNA (ENSEASG00005030260.1)
Source: RNAcentral